Planococcus citri (citrus mealybug) is the source of this 2446-nucleotide long non-coding RNA. RefSeq lists it as uncharacterized. The transcript has 2 exons. The record is from RefSeq and is a predicted model, not a curated record. Lineage: Eukaryota; Metazoa; Arthropoda; Insecta; Hemiptera; Pseudococcidae.
UGUUGAUAAGUCUUGUUUCUCAACAAAUCAUGUACUACUUAGUGUAAAUUUUUUCUAUAAUUUCCAUAAGAAGCUCUUUAGAUUCGAUUCUGUUAGUUCAUUUUCAUUUAGAACGCUGAAAAAACAAAAAAGUCCACUUCUAGUUUUAAUCUUAUCCUAUAAUGAUUUUACCCUCGGAGGGUGCAUCAAAUCAAGAAUAAGCACAUAUUCCUACUCAACAUGGGUGAAACUGUAUCCAACGUGUACGACCUGAUGUAUACCAGCCCUGUCACCCUGAAAAAAUUUCAACUAUCGUAGUUGUUGCUGAAUUCUGGCGUGAAGAAAUCUGCACUCAGAUCGAAAGUGAACGUUUAGAGGAACUGAAUUUAUUCGAGAGUAUUCAGUUGAAAAAUGUUAUUCCCAAGUUGCCAUCUACGAUUAACGAUUUACUGGAGGAAUAUGUCAACAUAUACAGAGACUCUAUGUUAUUAUGGUUGCUCUAUCAUCGCAAUAAAGUAUUAUCUUCGUUUCAUGGCAAUUCAACUAUUAUUUUGAGCCGUUUCCAUGAUUUUGCAUGCGACUGGGAUGGCACUAUUCACUACGUGCGCACAGCCAAACGGAUGAUGUUGAGCGAUCGACUGGAUAGCGAUGAAAAAUUCAAGACUGCUUGUUUGUAUUGCUUGGAAGACGAUAUCAAACGUAUAUGGCCAUCGGUGAACGCGAACAUGGAUUUACAGUAGACUCCCGAUUAUCCGCCAUUCGAUUAUCCGCCCUUCGGCUUAUCCGACCCAAUUUUGUCCGCCCUUUCCUCCGGGUUAUCCGACCUACUGAGGGCGGAUGCAUACAUAUUUGCAUAUUUUGGCUGUUUUUAGCGCAUAUUUCAGCAUAUUUUGCUCUUUUUACUCGUUUCAAUGCAUAUUUUUCUCAUUUCUGCUCACUUUCUCAAACUUUAUCUAAAAAAUCCAGUGUUUUUCGUUUUUUAGCUGGAAAUUUUUUUAAAAAAUGUCACCCAAAUGAAACAAAUUUCUCUGAAAACGUUAUUUCGGAUUAUCCGCCAUUUUCGUUAUCCGCCAGGCCUUCAGCCCCAAUUAGGGCGGAUAAUCGGGAGUCUACUGUAAAUGUUAUUGAUUUUCAAACUCGUCCCGAACUGUAUUACUGGAUCUGCUACCUCAGAAACGAACUACACAAGGUACCCAAUCCACGUAAUGAAUCGGUCGACGAAGUAAUGCUUCGUGAAGGCAAAUGGGACAAACAUCAUCAUUCAUCUGUUGAGUAUUUUUGGCAUCGUUUAUCCUCCGAUAAACAGUCACGAAUGGUUAUCCAUGAGUUUAAUUCUCGGUCGGAAUUAUUCACCAGGUUUAUUUUACUGAAACUAAACCAACAUCAACUUGAGACGUUCCUGGGAGCAAAAAGUAUUGAUUUUAUGUGGUCUCUGUUGACGUUUGAUCCAGCACGAUUUGAUGUUCUUCCACCUUGGAUGUACAUUCGAAACAAGAUCAAUGCAAAAGAUUUCAGUCGUUUCAUCAGAUAUGUGCUAUUUUCACUGGCCAAGUUCCCCAAAAAGAUGUCUCUGUCGAGUGCUUUGUUCUAUGAUAUGUGGAAGAGUGCUCCUCAGCAUUUAAAACGAUCGGCGUUAGAUAAUGUGGUAUUAAAUGAUCCGUCAUUUCUCAGCGAUGAGAUGUGGCCAUCUGACGACAAAGAAAUCAAAUGUCUGACGAUAGUACUACAAGAUGCUACUUUUGAAGAGAGAAACGCACUUUGGCGUAAAUAUUGGCUCAAUUUGAUCGGUUGCGCGCCUGUCGCAGAUUCGCUCGAAUUGAUGACAUUGUGUCUUGGAAAUGAUGACGAAAUUACGUUAUUUAAAGAAAACGUCAUGUCGAAAUAUGAAAAUAUCGCUGGAUGGGGCGUCUCGUUGAUAAAAAGUGGUUUGUUUGAAAAAUUGAAUGCCUUUUUGUCCAUUUGCUGCGCCGAUUCGAACAAAAUGAGUGAGUUGAAAGAACGAUUAUGUGCUGAGGCCGGAUUUCCUUGGCUAAGAUUCUAAGUUAACGUAAUCACUAGUUCAAUGAAUUGUUAUAUCAGUAUAAUAUUAUGAUGUGUAUUUAUCGUUUUUUUGAAGCAAUUAGAGCAGGCGAGUAUAACAAAGAGUGUAAAUAGUGAUGAAGUGGAAAAAAUUUUGGAUAGGUUCGAUGAUUUUUUUGAGGUGAUAUUUGAGUAGAGAUGAAGAUGAAAUUGAGGAGCAAUUGAAGUUGUUUUUUACUCGGAAGUGUCUAGAAGAGUUGCCUAGGUCUGAUCCUUGAAAUCCUGAGGUAUUCUUAUGUCAUUUAAGUAGGUACCUACUUUUUUUUAUUGUAUGUAUUUCAAUUUUUACGUGUAGGUAUAAUUUUAAUUGCUUAUGAACUCGAUCAGGAAAAAAAACCAUGCUUGAGAAGACUGACUUUUCUUCAAAUAAAAACCUUUUACGAACGAA